Molecule: ribosomal RNA, 847 nt
Filed under: uncultured bacterium
Lineage: Bacteria
Description: bacterial SSU rRNA
Rfam family: Bacterial small subunit ribosomal RNA
Source: RNAcentral
AGUCGAGCGGGUGAUGUAGCUUGCUACAUUACCUAGCGGCGGACGGGUGAGUAAUGCUUAGGAAUCUGCCUAUUAGUGGGGGACAACAUUCCGAAAGGAAUGCUAAUACCGCAUACGCCCUACGGGGGAAAGCAGGGGAUCUUCGGACCUUGCGCUAAUAGAUGAGCCUAAGUCAGAUUAGCUAGUUGGUGGGGUAAAGGCCUACCAAGGCGACGAUCUGUAGCGGGUCUGAGAGGAUGAUCCGCCACACUGGGACUGAGACACGGCCCAGACUCCUACGGGAGGCAGCAGUGGGGAAUAUUGGACAAUGGGCGCAAGCCUGAUCCAGCCAUGCCGCGUGUGUGAAGAAGGCCUUUUGGUUGUAAAGCACUUUAAGCGAGGAGGAGGCUACUUAGAUUAAUACUCUAGGAUAGUGGACGUUACUCGCAGAAUAAGCACCGGCUAACUCUGUGCCAGCAGCCGCGGUAAUACAGAGGGUGCGAGCGUUAAUCGGAUUUACCGGGCGUAAAGCGUGCGUAGGCGGCUUUUUAAGUCGGAUGUGAAAUCCCUGAGCUUAACUUAGGAAUUGCAUUCGAUACUGGGAAGCUAGAGUAUGGGAGAGGAUGGUAGAAUUCCAGGUGUAGCGGUGAAAUGCGUAGAGAUCUGGAGGAAUACCGAUGGCGAAGGCAGCCAUCUGGCCUAAUACUGACGCUGAGGUACGAAAGCAUGGGGAGCAAACAGGAUUAGAUACCCUGGUAGUCCAUGCCGUAAACGAUGUCUACUAGCCGUUGGGGCCUUUGAGGCUUUAGUGGCGCAGCUAACGCGAUAAGUAGACCGCCCUGGGGAGUACGGUCGCAGACUAAAACUC